GGAUCUGGUCAAUAACUGUAAAGAACAAAGAAUAUCACAUGCUGUGUAUUUCAGAUAUAAGCAUCAGCUGAAGACAAAACUAACUUUAUUCUGAUCCACCAUCUUUAUCCUAAACUGUAAUUAUUUGUCUCAAAAAAACCAACCAAAAAAAACCAGAGGAGUUUCUUUGGUGGCAUUUAUAAGAUCUACUUGAUUUAUUGUUUGGUGCAGUAAAAAUUACUUGGGUUUUCAAAAUGUAUGAAAGCAAAGCUUAAAAACAGAAGUUGCUUUGGGAGCAGGAGAGAUUCAAAGUAGCCUGGAACAGAAGCAAGGAUAGAGAGCUAGGGGAGGUCUCUAAUCCAUCCUGGUGCUACUCAGCCUCACCCCCCACAGCUGUGUAUGUUCCUGUCUCUCUCUCCAAAGAUGAUCCCUCUGUCUCAUGAGAAGACCCCUCCUGAACCAAUCUGUAGGCUGCCAAUUGAGGGCUCUGUCGUCAUUACUGCUUCUGGACCCAGGUUCAGCAACAUUCUUAGAGGAUGAGAUCAGGAAAGAAAAGACAGGAAUUUGAAAUGCAGCCACUACCAAUUUAUUCAGAGAAGCUGGAUCUUCAUUCAAAGGUUAUGCACCCCUUGAACGCAAGAUCGGUCAACUGAUUCAAUCAUAUGCGAACUGAGGAUGUGGAUUUCCAGCCUGCUAGGAACAGCUUAUAGCUGCAACCAUAGCUGUAGCUGUCAGUCUUCACUGGCAUUACGUUAAGAACUGACCCCAUGUGGCAGACAGUCCUCCUAAGAUCAGGUUUUUUAAGCGGGGGAAGAAUUCAGAAAUAAAUAUGCUCCCCUCAUGUGAAGGCUGAAAUUUGAAAAAUAGCUCCGGAUGAUGGAACUGCAGCAACGAACCACUAUGGAGCAUUUACACCAGCCACCAAAUCCAGAACAUUAUCUCAGCAGCUGAACUUUCCUCCAACAUAGCUGCCCUAAAAUAUAUAACCUAAGCAAGUUCCUUAAUAAAUAUUCACAGUGAGAAUAUAUAAUAAAUCUAGAAGCCUUCUAUAUUCUACCACAAUAGAAAGCAGCUUAAACAUUGUGCACAAUGUUGUCACAAUGCUGUGCACAACACUAGCAUUUACACACACAGCAGAUCCAUGGCUGGCGUUAACACAGUGAAUUUACUAUGGAGUAAACAUGCAUGGGACCAAGCUGUUAGGGUUUGAAAAGUAAAAUUAAAGUGGUUUUUAUUAUUUUUUAAAAAAAUCAAAAUAUUUAGCUGUGUUCUCCCCCUUCCAUCCCGGUUGCAUUAAUGGAAUAAAAAUGCUACCAAGGUUCUAACUGAAACCAUUCUGUUCUAGGUUGGCUCUUGCCAGUCUGUUUUAAGUUUAUGAAGCAGACUGUCUGGUUUGCUUUGUCUGAUCUUUCAAAUGAAUUGGUCACUUUUGCUUUCGCUAGUCGCUUCUAUAAGCUAGUGUUCUGCGUCAGUGACUACAAUACCCAAGAUAAUGAAUUUAUUUAUGAAUAAAAUAAAGCUCAAUAUAUUGCAGUGCG
Molecule: long non-coding RNA, 1517 nt
Organism: Hemicordylus capensis (graceful crag lizard)
Lineage: Eukaryota; Metazoa; Chordata; Lepidosauria; Squamata; Cordylidae
Exons: 4
Source: RefSeq, a predicted model, not a curated record